CUGCGGACGAGUACGGGGAGGAGUUUGCGAUGGGAGGCGCUUGCAGGGGCUCCCCAGUUCUGCGCUGUGAGCCCGGGCACAAAGAGACCUCUGCACUCGAGCCGCAGGACCGCCGACUCGAGGUGGAAGCAUCUCUCCGCCUGCCUGUGUCGCUCCAGACACGUUCACGAGGCCACGGUGGCCCUAACAGCAUCGGAGGAGUGGCCAAGAUGACCCGUCCUCUCCUCAGUGCGCCCGUGGGGCGGUAGAGACCAGCACUCACCGCACUCACACCGCAUUCAUGCCUGUCUACUGUGAAAUCCGUGUAUGCUGAGACCUGGACCUCAGAGCUGCCAGCCUGACUUGGGAGCUAACGUUGUCCAUGAGAACGCCAUUGUCUUACUGACCUCCAGGAUGGGCACACGAGGGCCAGGGGACAGGAUCUCUCUGGUCACACACACUCCCCGGAGGACGUCUUUGCAGAGCGCAGCAGGUUCCUGGGGCAGAGUCGGGAGAAGGGGAUUUCCGAGUGCUUCCGGAUGGCCCAGGCCGCGCGGGGAGGCCGCCUUGCAGAUAAGUAUUCGAACUUACCGGCCCACAGCCUCCCAGCCUGCCCGCUCCUGGUCUGUGCAGGCACACGUCCCCAGGUGGGAGGGGACCUUGGUGAUGUGGCUCAUUCACUUUUCUUCCUCUGUGCCACAAAGAAAGAGCUUGUCCCCACGUGAUGGGACCCCACGAAAGGUAAUUUUUGCACCCCGCUUUGGGCGUCCAGGCUAGUAUUUUGGAAAGCCCACCGGCAGGCACUGCCGAGGGGCCGAGUUGAACGGCUUCCUCUGAGAAGUGGCAGAUGUGGUCUCAGAAGGAGGCUGGGUCUGUCCUCGGUACCGGCCCCUCGUCGUCCUGUUUAUGCGACUUGGCCAGGGCUCCUUUGCCUGGUGGUCAAGUGGGGACGGCAGCCACUGCCCGGAGGACCCCUUCUUCUCAGCGCCACUCCUAGACCUGUGCCCCACGUCCCAGGUGCCGGCAGCGAGUUCUGAAAUGUGUGGGGCCACUGACUCUUCUAGCCCAGGUCUGCCAGUUGAUGAAGGUGGCUUAUCUGCCACCCAAAGCAAAACCCGGGAGAUGGUCCGAGCCAGAAUCAGUGGGCAUCUGACGGAGGGGCGGGCAGAAAAAUAACUGUGGCUGAGCAGCACCAGGGCUCCUGCUGUGUCCCACCCACUGCCACUGCUGUGCACUGCGGGCGACUGUCGGGGCUGGAAGGGUCCCACGGCUCUGGGGUGGGGGGGCAGACUUUCCAGGACUACACAGCAUGGUGGAGCUGGGGUCCACACUCCCCACUCCUGACUCUGUUCCGUCUUUCCUGGGUCCCAUUCUGCUGUUGUCGGGGACCAGGGAAGUGGGUGAAAACUGUUCCUGGGUGGGAGGCAGGGAGGAGGAGGAGGGUGAUGUGCCUGGGCCCCGCCUCUCUGGCUCUCAAGCCUUCCUCUUGUUAACAGAGGAUGCUGCCCAGGCCCGGGGCUGGGUCUGGGCCUGGGAGGGGGCUGCUUGCAGUUUUCUCCUGCAGUGUGGUUGGCUCUUUUGUCUUCCAGGAUGGGCCUGUGGGGCUGUACGUGGGAGCCGGGAGCUGGCCCGGGCUACCGAAGUGUUGGCUGGGCGAGGCCAGCACACGCACGGACCAAGCCCUUCUCUCAGCCUGACGAUCCAGAAGCGAACACCGUAGACGUGGUUCUGCCCUCGCAGAUGAUCGCAUGAGAACGUGCCCUGUCACAGUCUCGGUGAGGCAGUGAGCUCCCCGUCCUGGGAGGUGACCCCGCCGCUCCGGGACUCCCGGCCUGGUCUCGUCGUUGGAGCCCGCGGGACUCCGUCCGCAGGGGCACGGGAGCAGCCUCCGGUGGUUUUCUGGAAUCCUCGCUCUUUCUCCCAAGACCUUCUUCUGCCCGACUCCUGGGAUGGAGCCUCUCCUGGUCGAUGCUCAGGGACAUGGGGACCUGGCCAGGGAGGCCAGCUCCAGGGGUGCGAGGGCGGCCGGCAGCCGACCGCCCCCUCUGCAGCCGCCUGGACCCGCCUCCGGGGCCUUCACUUUCUGACCUUGCGCAGACUUGGCUCCUCCUUGAAUGUCUGCUGGUGGGAGGAGCCAGCCUGGGCAGAGACCCCACUGACCGCACCCUCCCCAAGGCCGGUCCCACGGACC
Phyllostomus hastatus (greater spear-nosed bat) is the source of this 2170-nucleotide long non-coding RNA. RefSeq lists it as uncharacterized. The transcript has 5 exons. NCBI's taxonomy places the organism in Eukaryota, Metazoa, Chordata, Mammalia, Chiroptera, Phyllostomidae. The record is from RefSeq and is a predicted model, not a curated record.